CAGGGUACUCGAGUGGCGAACGGGUGAGUAACACGUGGGUGAUCUGCCCUGCACUUCGGAUAAGCUUGGGAAACUGGGUCUAAUACCGGAUAGGAACCAUCUUUAGUGUGGUGGUUGGAAAGUUUUUUCGGUGUAGGAUGAGCUCGCGGCCUAUCAGCUUGUUGGUGGGGUAAUGGCCUACCAAGGCGGCGACGGGUAGCCGGCCUGAGAGGGUGUACGGCCACAUUGGGACUGAGAUACGGCCCAG
RNAcentral lists this ribosomal RNA (247 nucleotides) under uncultured Actinomycetales bacterium. Its description in RNAcentral is "partial 16S ribosomal RNA". It matches the Rfam family "Bacterial small subunit ribosomal RNA", at positions 83 to 334 of the family's 1533-position model. Lineage: Bacteria; Bacillati; Actinomycetota; Actinomycetes; Actinomycetales. The record is from RNAcentral.